Molecule: ribosomal RNA, 423 nt
Filed under: uncultured bacterium
Lineage: Bacteria
Description: partial 16S ribosomal RNA
Rfam family: Bacterial small subunit ribosomal RNA
Source: RNAcentral
AAUAUUGGACAAUGGGCGAAAGCCUGAUCUAGCCAUGCCGUGUGUGUGAAGAAGGUAUUCGGAUUGUUAAGCACUUUUAGUUGGGAGGAAGGGCUUUAGGCUAAUACCCUGAAGUUUUCACGUUACCAACAGAAUAAGUACCGGCUAACUCUGUGCCAGCGGCCGCGGUAAUACAUAGGGUGCAAGCGUUAAUCGGAAUUACUGGGCGUAAAGCGUGCGCAGGCGGUUUUGUAAGACAGAGGUGAAAUCCCCGGGCUCAACCUGGGAACUGCCUUUGUGACUGCAAGGCUAGAGUACGUCAGAGGGUGGUGGAAUUUCCUGUGUAGCGGUGAAAUGCGUAGAUAUAGGAAGGAACACCAGUGGCGAAGGCGACCACCUGGGCUAAUACUGACACUGAGGUGCGAAAGCGUGGGGAGCAAACAG